CCUACGGGAGGCAGCAGUGAGGAAUAUUGGUCAAUGGGCUUACGCCUGAACCAGCCAAGUCGCGUGAGGGAAGACUGCCCUAUGGGUUGUAAACCUCUUUUGUCAGGGAGCAACGCCGGCUACGUGUAGCCGGACUGAGAGUACCUUAAGAAAAAGCAUCGGCUAACUCCGUGCCAGCAGCCGCGGUAUUACGGAGGAUGCGGGGGUUAUCCGGAUUUAUUGGGUUUAAAGGUUGCGUAGGCGGAAUGCCAAGUCAGCGGUAAAAUCGCGGGGCUCAACCUCGCUCCGCCGUUGAAACUGGCGUGCUUGAGUGGGCGAGAGGUAGGCGGAAUGCGUGGUGUAGCGGUGAAAUGCAUAGAUAGCACGCAGAACUCCGAUUGCGAAGGCAGCAUACCGGCGCCCAACUGACGCUGAAGCACGAAAGCGUGGGUAUCGAACAGGAUUAGAUACCCUUGUAGUC
RNAcentral lists this ribosomal RNA (460 nucleotides) under uncultured bacterium. RNAcentral describes it as "partial 16S ribosomal RNA". It matches the Rfam family "Bacterial small subunit ribosomal RNA", at positions 338 to 795 of the family's 1533-position model. The record is from RNAcentral.